UAUGGGGCGCAGCAGGCGAGAAAACUUUGCAAUGUGCGAAAGCACGACAAGGUUAAUCCGAGUGAUUUCUGCUAAAGAAAUCUUUUGCCAGUCAUAAAACCACUAGUGAAUAAGGGGUGGGCAAGUUCUGGUGUCAGCCGCCGCGGUAAAACCAGCACCUCAAGUGGUCAGGAGGAUUAUUGGGCCUAAAGCAUCCGUAGCCGGCUCUGUAAGUUUUCGGUUAAAUCCAUGUGCUCAACGCAUGGGCUGUCGAAAAUACUGCAUAGCUAGGGAGUGGGAGAGGUAGACGGUACUCGGUAGGAAGGGGUAAAAUCCUUUGAUCUAUCGAUGACCACCUGUGGCGAAGGCGGUCUACCAGAACACGUUCGACGGUGAGGGAUGAAAGCUGGGGGAGCAAACCGGAUUAGAUACCCGGGUAGUCCCAGCUGUAAACGAUGCAGACUCGAUGAUGCAUUGGCAUAUAGCCAGUGCAGUGUCGCAGGGAAGCCGUUAAGUCUGCCGCCUGGGAAGUACGUACGCAAGUAUGAAACUUAAAGGAAUAGGCGGGGGAGCACCACAAGGGGUGAAGCCUGCGGUUCAAUUGGAGUCAACGCCAGAAAUCUUACCCGGAGAGACAGCAGAAUGAAGGUCAAGCUGAAGACUUUACCAGACAAGCUGAGAGGUGGUGCAUGGCCGUCGCCAGCUCGUGCCGUGAG
This 695-nucleotide ribosomal RNA is filed under the name uncultured marine group I thaumarchaeote. RNAcentral describes it as "bacterial SSU rRNA". It matches the Rfam family "Archaeal small subunit ribosomal RNA", at positions 324 to 1020 of the family's 1478-position model. The record is from RNAcentral. Lineage: Archaea; Thermoproteati; Nitrososphaerota.